GGUUUGUGGCUCAGUGGUAGAGCGCUUGCCUAGCAUGUGGGAGGCACUGGGUUCCAUUUCCAGCACCA
This 68-nucleotide transfer RNA is filed under the name Marmota monax (woodchuck). Its description in RNAcentral is "tRNA.Ala". The stretch from base 5 to 65 matches the Rfam family "tRNA", at positions 6 to 65 of the family's 71-position model. From Rfam's summary of the family: Transfer RNA (tRNA) molecules are approximately 80 nucleotides in length. Their secondary structure includes four short double-helical elements and three loops (D, anti-codon, and T loops). Lineage: Eukaryota; Metazoa; Chordata; Mammalia; Rodentia; Sciuridae. The record is from RNAcentral.